RNAcentral lists this unclassified non-coding RNA (884 nucleotides) under Neodiprion pinetum (white pine sawfly). Its description in RNAcentral is "uncharacterized LOC124218181, transcript variant X2". Lineage: Eukaryota; Metazoa; Arthropoda; Insecta; Hymenoptera; Diprionidae. The record is from RNAcentral.
CUGUCGUCACUCUGGACCACUGAUAUAUAUAUACACUGGAUUGGAUUAAGCGUGGUGCCGUCACGCCAAUUGAACGUAACAAUUAUUGAGGUAACAAUGAGUACCUGCGUUUUUUGCAAAACAAAGCAAUCAAAAUAUAGUGGGCGAUCAUUUCACAAAUUUCCCGUGAAAGAUGUGUUGCGCCUUCAGCAGUGGUUAAAAGAAAUGAAGAGGAAGGACUGGAAGCCAAACCGAAAUAGCACAUUGUGUUCAGCUCAUUUUGCAAAUGACUGCUUUGAUAGGACAGGAUUCCUAAUUACAUUGAAAAAGAAAAGUGUACCAACUAUAUUUGACAACCCAAAAUCAGAGUGUUCAUCUUGUCACCGAUUAAGGGAAUAUGGACAUGGCUAUUCAUUCUUCAAGUUCCCAUUGGAUGAACCUGAUAUUAUGAAGCAGUGGAUCGCAAAUAUAAACAUUGGACCCUGGUCUCCAUCAAGUGAUAGCUUUCUGUGUUCCGACCACUUUGAACCCUCUUGCUUUCAGAAGAAAAGUAAAAAUUAUAUAACUUUACCAAAAGGCAGUAUCCCAACGUUAUUUGCAGACCGAAUUUCAGGAUGAAUCCGAUCGGCCCACCAUAGUGAAUUUAACCAAAUUACAUGAUCACCUACACAUUUGUACCUGAUUUGCAUGCUCAGCUCCACUUUGAUGAUCAAUGGAUGGUAAAUGGAUUCCCUAAUGGUUGAAUUAGUGUUAUACAAAUUUUUGAAUAAUCCGUAUGGAAUUCAGCCCACCAUAGGAUGAAGGAUAAUGGACGGAAACUUCUUAGAAUUGAGGACUUCUUUUGAACAUAAAGAAAAAUCACGCUUAAAUACAAGUUUUUCGUCAUAUUAUUUAAUGAUCUUUUA